GACGAACGCUGGCGGCGUGCUUAACACAUGCAAGUCGAACGGAAAGGCCCUGCUUUUGUGGGGUGCUCGAGUGGCGAACGGGUGAGUAACACGUGAGUAACCUGCCCUUGACUUUGGGAUAACUUCAGGAAACUGGGGCUAAUACCGGAUAGGAGCUCCUGCUGCAUGGUGGGGGUUGGAAAGUUUCGGCGGUUGGGGAUGGACUCGCGGCUUAUCAGCUUGUUGGUGGGGUAGUGGCUUACCAAGGCUUUGACGGGUAGCCGGACUGAGAGGGUGACCGGCCACAUUGGGACUGAGGUACGGCCCAGACUCCUACGGGAGGCAGCAGUGGGGAAUAUUGCACAAUGGGCGGAAGCCUGAUGCAGCAACGCCGCGUGCGGGAUGACGGCCUUCGGGUUGUAAACCGCUUUCGCCUGUGACGAAGCGUGAGUGACGGUAAUGGGUAAAGAAGCACCGGCUAACUACGUG
This 468-nucleotide ribosomal RNA is filed under the name uncultured bacterium. RNAcentral's name for it is "partial 16S ribosomal RNA". It matches the Rfam family "Bacterial small subunit ribosomal RNA", at positions 28 to 507 of the family's 1533-position model. The record is from RNAcentral.